This 1635-nucleotide long non-coding RNA is filed under the name Mytilus galloprovincialis (Mediterranean mussel). Lineage: Eukaryota; Metazoa; Mollusca; Bivalvia; Mytilida; Mytilidae. The record is from RNAcentral.
GUAACAUUCAUGAGUUUAGGUAGUAUUUUUAUUAUUAAAAGUUUCAAUCUCCGUUAAAGAUGACUGCAACUAAAUUUCAACUUUUUUUAGUUUUUGUAUCUAUAAUUUAUGGAUUUAUUAAUUGUAACGAGAAAGGUAAGUACGUAGUAUUCUAUAUUAAGUUUAUUUUAUUUUACAUUUUAUAUUCAAACAAAAUAAAUAUUGCUGAUUCAUUUAUUUUCUUGGUUACCAAUUUUAGGAUUGAGGAUUUAUUGUACUUUUGUGGAUAUUUUAUUUUGUUGGUUUGCAAAUGUUUGUUAACAAGCAUUAAAAAAAUAAUACUUCUUUGAGCAAUUCCAUUCGUAUUUCAUUUUUACCCACGAAAUUAAUAUAAAUGCGUUUCCCAUUCAUGAUAAUUAAUCCACAUUAAAAGAAGGGAAACAAGAAAUGCAUUUUUGAUUUCACUGACUAACACGUACAAUCAAGAAUUCAUAGUUUUGAUCCAAGAAAUAUUAAACUACAACCAAACAAAGUGGUUCCGCAAAAAACACGAAAUUAAUAAACAAAAUAUGUUUCCCAUUCAUGAUAAUUAAUCCACAUAAAAAGAAGGGGAACAAGUAACUGCGUUUUUCAAUUUACCGACUAACACUUGUUAUUAAGAGUUUAUAGUUUAAUGUAUUUCAAUCAAAGAAAUAAAUAAUCUACACCCAAACAAAGUUGUUUCACAACCAACAAUCACUCGUAGGUAACAUAUCAUUGCCGACAUUAUAAGGAUACCAUUAUAAAAUGUAUGCCAAUCUGUGGGAGAAAACUUUGACAUAGAAACAAUUACCUGGAAAUACAAAGAGAAAAAGAACAAAUCAAACAAAUGUUAUCAUAAAUUGCGAAUAAAAGGCAACAGUGCUUAACUAAGGUUAAUAAGAGGCAACAGUGCUUAACUAAGGUUAAUAAGAGGCAACAGUGAUUUACUAAGGUUAAUAAGAGGCAACAGUGCUUUACUAGUGCUUUUUAUGACUUUUGAACAGUGGUAUACUACUGUUGCCUUUAAUCUUAAGAAUUCAUUAACAAUAUACUAAUCCAGUUUAAAAAUAAGGGUACUCAAAUCAACUAAGCUUAAAGAAGACGAGAUCAGUUAUCUUAACAUAUUAAGCGUCUCCUGUAUUGACCAACUGGUAUAGGGAUAUACUCAGUAUAAACAGCAACAUAUCUUGAUAAUAUACAGUUCCAUUAUGUCACAUUUAUCAAUUUGAUAUAGUCAAUAAAGUCAACACCACAUAUUCAAUAUGAUGUGUUAUAAACUCACAUGUUACUUUUUAAUAAUGAUAAUAACUUUUCUUUUUAUUUGAUUAAUAGCGUACCAAUCUAUUCAAUUGAUAACGAAAGACACAAAGAACCCGACAAGGCAUACGAGAAAUGUUCGGUCUAUUAACAACUGUGCACAGUGUAAAGCAAUUUGCGAUUGUGAGUGUAUAAGACGAACUUGUGUUGAGACUAGUUGUUGUGGCGGACCCUGACACAGAACGUCUUACUGUCUUGCUUAUCUUCAAGGAAUAAUGUUAUACAAUGUAUGAGAACAAAUAAAAGCGACAGCAGUUAAUAAGCGAUGUAUUAGUGUGUUUAUUUGUGUAUUAUAAAGUUUUACGUAUCUGAAAGAGG